CUUAGAGAAACUUGGGCCAGGCAGGCAAGGCAAUAUAUCCAUGUGUGUGGCGUGUGAAUCCCAGGGCGCUUCUCCUUUGGCACGGAGGCAUGCAUGUACUGAUGGUAGGAGUUGGCCAGGUGAAGAAGCUCCAGGCCGAUCAGUGCGUGCAGCUAGCCAGCCGCGUCGUGCGUGCCAAAGGAGAAUUGCCCUGCGAUUCACCUCAGCUGCUCUGCGAUGCUGAUCUGUGACUGCCUUUGAACCAAUCUGCGUCUACGAUGCGUCCACGAGGCAAAUCCCGCAAUGCAAGUUAUUUUCAGAGCUACGGCAUGGAUCUGUACGUGGUCCUUACUCACCCCUGCAGACUCCAGGAAACCUUUGGUUACUAGGUUUGGAUGGUGGUCUUAUAAUAGGAUAAGCGUUUAAUGAUCUUGUCCUAUUAUCUUGCCGGCUGUGGCAAUGAAUUUUUAUUUCUCCUUUUGCUUCGUUUGCGAGCUGUAAUGGAUCCAAGACUAUGUUUUUAUUCAAUUUUUUUAAUAA
Triticum dicoccoides is the source of this 519-nucleotide long non-coding RNA. RefSeq lists it as uncharacterized. NCBI's taxonomy places the organism in Eukaryota, Viridiplantae, Streptophyta, Magnoliopsida, Poales, Poaceae. The transcript has 2 exons. The record is from RefSeq and is a predicted model, not a curated record.